RNAcentral lists this ribosomal RNA (428 nucleotides) under uncultured bacterium. RNAcentral describes it as "bacterial SSU rRNA". It matches the Rfam family "Bacterial small subunit ribosomal RNA", at positions 355 to 776 of the family's 1533-position model. The record is from RNAcentral.
UGGGGAAUCUUGCGCAAUGGGCGAAAGCCUGACGCAGCGACGCCGCGUGCGGGAAGAAGGCCUUCGGGUUGUAAACCGCUUUCAGGAGGGACGAAGCCACUCGGGUUAAUAGCCCAGAGGGUGACGGUACCUCCAGAAGAAGCCCCGGCUAACUACGUGCCAGCAGCCGCGGUAAUACGUAGGGGGCAAGCGUUGUCCGGAUUUAUUGGGCGUAAAGCGCGUGUAGGCGGCCACACAGGUCCGCUGUGAAAACUGGAGGCUCAACCUCCAGAGGUCGGUGGAAACCGUGUGGCUAGAGUCCGGAAGAGGAGACUGGAAUUCCCGGUGUAGCGGUGGAAUGCGCAGAUAUCGGGAGGAACACCCGUGGCGAAGGCGGGUCUCUGGGACGGUACUGACGCUGAGACGCGAAAGCGUGGGGAGCGAACAGG